GAUUAUGGCUCAGGAUGAACGCUAGCGGCAGGCUUAACACAUGCAAGUCGAGGGGCAUCGGGAGUAGCAAUACUUGCCGGCGACCGGCGCAAGGGUGCGUAACGCGUGAGCAACAUGCCCGUAUCAGGGGGGAUAAUCCAUGGAAACGUGGUCUAAUACCCCAUAGUAAUUAUGUAAGGCAUCUUAUAUAAUUUAAAGCUUUGGUGGAUACGGAUUGGCUCGCGUGACAUUAGCUGGAUGGUAAGGUAACGGCUUACCAUGGCUACGAUGUCUAGGGGUUCUGAGAGGAAGGUCCCCCACACUGGAACUGAGACACGGUCCAGACUCCUACGGGAGGCAGCAGAGAGGAAUAUUGGACAAUGGAUGGAAAUCUGAUCCAGCCAUGCCGCGUGCCAGGAAGACGGCCCUAUGGGUUGUAAACUGCUUUUGUAUGGGAGCAAUAAGGGCUACGUGUAGUCCGAUGAGAGUACCAUACGAAUAAGCACCGGCUAACUCCGUGCCAGCAGCCGC
This 510-nucleotide ribosomal RNA is filed under the name uncultured bacterium. RNAcentral's name for it is "bacterial SSU rRNA". It matches the Rfam family "Bacterial small subunit ribosomal RNA", at positions 15 to 518 of the family's 1533-position model. The record is from RNAcentral.